This 439-nucleotide ribosomal RNA is filed under the name uncultured bacterium. RNAcentral's name for it is "partial 16S ribosomal RNA". It matches the Rfam family "Bacterial small subunit ribosomal RNA", at positions 338 to 794 of the family's 1533-position model. The record is from RNAcentral.
CCUACGGGAGACAGCAGUAAGGGAUAUUGGUCAAUGGGGGAAACCCUGAACCAGCAACGCCGCGUGAGGGAAGACGGUUUUCGGAUUGUAAACCUCUGUCCUCUGUGAAGAUGAUGACGGUAGCAGAGGAGGAAGCUCCGGCUAACUACGUGCCAGCAGCCGCGGUAAUACGUCGGGAGCGAGCGUUGUCCGGAUUUACUGGGUGUAAAGGGUGCGUAGGCGGCUUGGCAAGUCAGUAGUGAAAUCCAUGGGCUUAACCCAUGAACUGCUAUUGAAACUGUCGAGCUUGAGUGAAGUAGAGGUAGGCGGAAUUCCCGGUGUAGCGGGGAAAGGCGUAGAGAUCGGGAGGAAAACCAGUGGCGAAGGCGGCCUGCUGGACGAUGACUGACGUUGAGGCUCGAAAGCGUGGGGAGCAAACAGGAUUAGAUACCCUAGUAGU